Long non-coding RNA from Biomphalaria glabrata, 1062 nucleotides. RefSeq lists it as uncharacterized. Lineage: Eukaryota; Metazoa; Mollusca; Gastropoda; Planorbidae. The transcript has 7 exons. The record is from RefSeq and is a predicted model, not a curated record.
UUUUUUUUUCUUGUCUUUGAAGACCAGGACUAUUUGGAUGUUGAUCAUUAUGACUAUUUGCAACCUAGUACUCCAAACCUUGAAGAUGGAUACAAGCAACAAGGCUUGGAUGACGGUAAAGACACAGACUAUCAGGAAAUUGAUAACUAUGACCAUUGUCGCCAUGAUACUGCUGCAUACAAAGAAUAUAAAAGAAUAUAUGAGACCUUAAAGACAGAUGAAUUCGAGGAUGUUUCCAAGGGACCUUCUGCUUUGUCUGCUGACGUUGGCAUAGAGACAAACAAAGCAGUACAGGAUGAUGAAGGUAAAGACACAGACUUUCAGGAAGUUCAUUAUUAUGACCAUUUUCGCCAUGAUGCUGCUGCAUACAAAGAAGAUAAAAGAAUAUAUGAGGCCUUAAAGACAGAUGAAUUCAAAGAUGUUUCCAAGGAACCUUCUGCUUUGUCUGCUGACGUUGGCAUAGAGACAAACAAAGCAGUACAGGAUGAUGAAGAUUUUGAUGAACAAAAGAAAUCUAGGGAAAAUGAUUAUGUCUGGUCUGAAUAAAGCAUGGUUCCAAGUUUUUAUAUUAACAUAGCCUAAACAAUAGGAACUGAUGAUUUUUGUGGCAACGUGACAUCAAAAGCUCCACAUAACAUUCCACAUAUUUUUUUGUUUCCCAUAUGCCUAUCACUGUUUACAUAUGGUAUACAUUAGGAGUACAACAAAGGAAUAUUUUCUAAAAAGUUGUAGAACUUUAGUCUUAUUAGUCAAAUUUCAUUUUUUUACUUAGCUCAAAAGUUUAAUAAUCAUCAUAGCUUAGUAAGAGUGGCAGUCUGUAAAAUUGGAAGGUGGUCAAAAGCUUCGGCAGAUGUAUGAAAAGCUUAUACACCAUGGUGAAACUUAAUUUUAGACAAUUUAGGGAGAGAGAGAGAAUAUCUUAAAGGAUCAAAAUAGCUAUAUAUAAACAAGUACUAGGAAAAGUUGAAUAAUCAACAGAGCUAAUUUUAAAGAGACUGCAACCUCCUUCCUAAUUCACAUUACACAUAUACUUGCCAAUUCCUUCAUCAAUAUUAUUUUAAA